This is a long non-coding RNA of Armigeres subalbatus, 1286 nucleotides long. RefSeq lists it as uncharacterized. NCBI's taxonomy places the organism in Eukaryota, Metazoa, Arthropoda, Insecta, Diptera, Culicidae. The record is from RefSeq and is a predicted model, not a curated record. The transcript is spliced from 5 exons.
CGUUGCAAGCAAAUCACUCGUGCGAGCGAAUGAUUUCUGAGAGCACUCGCAAUUGCAGUCACACGUAGCAGUUUUUUACUUUAAGCAAAUGUCUGAUUUACUCUCAUGCAAAUAUAAACAAAAACGAAAAACUUGUUUUUCGGCCACAAAAUCUAAUUUCAUUCCUAUUUUUGCAAUGCAACACUGCCACCUGAAAACGUUUUCACUUUUGCGAGCGAAAAAUUUGCUAGUGCUGCACUAGCAAGCGCGAUUUCGUUUCUGCGAGUUGAAAAUUUUUAACGCUUAGCAGUCACACAUUGCAAGCAAGCGUUUGCUUACGAGUUGUCAUUUGUUUGCAUGCAAUCACUUUCAGUGUAGUCAGACAGGCAAAUUUUUGACAGUUGUCACUUUCUGCGAGCAAAAUGCUCGUUGCGAGUGAUUUGCUUGCAACGUCUGACGGCACCUUACUUAUCUUUUCUACAUCGUUGAAACGCGCGAAUAAGUAGAGUUCCACGUGGACAACGGGUGGAGCGAAUUUCACUAGUUUCCCAGUUAGCUGACCAGCUUGUAACGGUUCGUCGGAGAGAUUAGGCGUAACAGGGGUCGAUCGUACGAUUAGAAGGGAGAAACAGGUCUAGGAAAUACCAAAUCUUUGAGCUGCAAUUACCAGAAGCUGCUGGAAGAUUGUUUUUACCUAUUCCAACAAUCUCAAAGAUUUGCUCCGAUGAACGAAACAACGGUAAGCUACGAUUGUGGGGCAUGCGAUCGACCCAAUUCCGCCGAGGCGAAGAUGGUCAAAUGCGAAAGCUGCGAAACAUGGUUCCAUCUUAGUUGUGCUGGAGUAUCGCCGGGAGUUGAAAAGCGGUCGUGGAUUUGUGCGAAUUGUACCCCGCUAAUGCCAGUUGCAUCUGCGGCCACGAAAUUAAAAACAAAAGAAGCUGCGUUGCAAGUAGGAGCGAAAAAGGGUAGCCGAAAAUUGUCAGUAAAGUCGGACGCUGGAAUCACGAAUUCAUCAUUUUGGUUGAAACUAAGGCACCGCAUCUCGUCUGCUGUUUAAGGUGGAAGUAUCGUAGACUCCACGACAACGAAACUUUGUUCAACGUCCAACAUCAGAAUGUGAACGAUUCAUUCCUAAAUUAGAUCCUGGGUUAGAUGGUGCCAACAUACCGGAAUUUAGAACGGAGUCCAACAUGCGGGGGAGGAGGAACGCUAAGACUAAACCAAAGCGACAACAUGCAGGGCAAAUGGUUUAAUAAAACAACAUUGAUGAUCAGAUUGUAUUAAGGCAGAUCAUUUUUAGCAGAAAA